This 678-nucleotide long non-coding RNA is filed under the name Struthio camelus australis. RNAcentral describes it as "lncRNA (ENSSCUG00000011225.1)". The record is from RNAcentral. Lineage: Eukaryota; Metazoa; Chordata; Aves; Struthioniformes; Struthionidae.
CGGGAGGCACCGUGUGGUGGCUGUGCCAGGGCCCGGCGCGGCUCUGCAGGCCCCCAGAGCUCCUCGCAAUGCAGCUCCGUCCUGCAGAGCGGAGCCCGCGGUAUCCUCCUUGUCCUCGGCUGUCUCCCCUCGGUGGUGCGUGCCGUGAGUCACGAGGAGCCUGGUGCCGCUCCAAACGCGUGUCAGCCCCGGCCUAGUGAGAGGUUCAUAGCAGGCACAGGCAAAUGGGUGGAGUUGGUAGCUGUCUGAAGUAGCCAAGAUCUUCAGUUGAUAUCGUUAAUUAUCAUGUGAUGGUGCCAAAGUUUGCGAGGCUCCGUGCAGCACAGAACAAAAUGACAUAUUCCCUGCCCCAAGGAGUUUACAAUCUAAAGUGGAUCUGACAACACGAGGGUGUGACAGGACACCACGAGGCUGCAGCAACAGGAUCAUGCUGUUGAGGUCUCAACUUACUCCAGCACUACAGAUGAGAGAAAGCGACAGCUCCAGAGGCCUCUUGGGAUGGCAGGAUGGAUCUGACAAAGCAAGGUGUGACAGAAUGCCACAAGGUUGCAGCAACAGAAUCCUAGGAUCCAGUGACCAGAUAAAGGUCUUUCCAACACAUGUUUUACUGAACGUGCAAGACAAACCUCUGGCAUGAACAAUGAAGGCAUAUUUCUCCUGCUUUAAAGCAAAGUAUUG